UACGUAGGGCGCGAGCGUUGUCCGGAAUUAUUGGGCGUAAAGAGCUCGUAGGCGGCUUGUCGCGUCGGCCGUGAAAACCUGCAGCUUAACUGUGGGCGUGCGGUCGAUACGGGCAUCACUGGAGUUCGGCAGGGGAGACUGGAAUUCCUGGUGUAGCGGUGAAAUGCGCAGAUAUCAGGAGGAACACCGGUGGCGAAGGCGGGUCUCUGGGCCGAUACUGACGCUGAGGAGCGAAAGCGUGGGGAGCGAACAGG
Molecule: ribosomal RNA, 254 nt
Filed under: uncultured bacterium
Lineage: Bacteria
Description: partial 16S ribosomal RNA
Rfam family: Bacterial small subunit ribosomal RNA
Source: RNAcentral